AGCAGUUACAAACAGACUGAUGGAUGUAAAUUUUAUUGAUGAUUAAAUACCACGCAUGGCCUUGUCACUGGUGAUGGUAAUUUUCCAAUACCAUGAACAACUCUUGGUAAAGUUUUUGAUGAAACAAAGGACAGAUAUUAUAUGAUUCCCCUUAUACGAAGUACCCAGAAUAGGCAAAUUCACAGAGCCAGAAAGUGGAUUAGAGGUUGUAAAGACCCAACGGGAAGGGGCCUGGGGAGCUAUUGCUUAAUAGGCACAGAGCUUCUGUCUGUGGUGACGAAAAGUUUUGGAAAUAUAUAGCAGUGAUGGUUGCACAACAUUUUGAAAGUACUUAAUGCCAUUGAAUUAUACACUUAAAAAUGGUUAACAUGGUAAAUUCUAUGUUGUGUAUUUUUACUACAAUAAUAAAAUACCCAAAAAAGUCUUGCAAAAAAAGUGUUUUGUUUAUAUACAAAACAGAGUUAGAUUCUAGUUCAGAUAAUAGUAAAUGGCCUUUCACUUACAUGAACGUCCUGCGGGACAUUUGAAAGUUAUGCAAGACAAUUCUUUGUCGUGCAGGCCUAUUCCAUCACUGGCCAAUCCCACGCAGUACCAGUAGGGCACCCCUUCGCUGUGAUGAAAAUGCCCCCGCCGUGUUCCAAUUGCCGUAGGAGGAUAGCAUCUCCCUCUCGAGAACCACUGAGAUGCCGGAAGCAGAGCCACGCAGGUUGCCUGGGUUGGGACCGGCCAGUGCCUGGAGUCCUCGUUGGGACGAGAGUGCUCGGCCCAGAAACCGCAGAAAUUCAGUUCUUUGAAGGAUCAGCAUGGAGCAUGAGGAGCAAGGGGAAGAAGGAUGUGGGAACUAUGACAUGAAAGCUGCCGCCGGUUCUGACCCCUGGCACCCCGGCUCCUGGUUUCUCACGCAGAAAUGCUCACGGCAGUCCCCUCCCAGACGGUGGAGCUAGAGAGCCUGGGACUCGGCUGGGUGGUGUGGGCUGGCGCGGGAUGGGGCAGGGCUGACUCGGCCAUCCACAGAUGAUGCGGCAGUGCUGCUGACUAUGACGGUGGCAAUAACAGCUGCUAUUUAUUGAAUAAUUAGCAAGUUCUUUACUAUAUUUUCAUGUAAUUUUAACAACUAUUUAUUACAGGUGGGAAAACAAGUUCAGGCAGCUGGGAGGUGCUCGGAAAAUCAAAAGUCAUGGAGAGAAGGCGGGAGCCCAGUCACAGAGAUUCCUAGCCGACAGAUUCGAAUCUGCUCGUUCUGAAGUCCCACUCGGCUGACCUCCACGUGCGGAUGCGGCCGAGUUCCUCCCCCCAACCCCGCGGUUUGCUGGGGCGUCAGCUGGGGAGCCAGUGCCGCCGGCCGUGCGGGGGUCCAGCCACUUCCCCGCCGGCCGAAGGACACUGCCAGCGCCCUCUUCUCCCGCUUUCCUCCGGUCGCAGGGAUCUGACUGAUGGAGGGGCGCUCAGCCCGCCACCGUGAUGCAGCGCCGCUUGGAAAGCACUGACUUCUCCCAAGAGGCUUGGAGCUCCUGGGGCUAGAAUGAGUGUGGUUGGCUGACAGCUGCUUCUGGAGCGGCCUCCCUCUCGGACUUCACGCCCGAUGGUCGCCUGCGGAGGCUUCCGGGUCCAGCGUGGGACCCCAGGCACAGAAGCAAGACUGAAGUCCCUGUCGCUACUCCUUCCCCUCGUUACAGGGGGCUGGAAAAGCCCACCUCAUGCCACUUCCUCCCCCAGAGGACCCUUUAACUUGCAGGAAGUCAUGAUUUUGAAGGAGGCAGUUCUCAGAACGUGAUGCUCUGAUUGGCCCCCAAACCUCCAUCCUGAGCUCCAGCCUCCGCCCUCCUGAAGCCGUUGGAUUACCUGCUGCUGCUAUGAACAAGGAGGGUCUUCAGACAGCUUCUAGAAUUUCAAGCUGGAAACGCUCCCAGGGAGAAGACAUGGUCAACCCUACAUCUCUGGUGAGGCCCAACCACCCUCCUGGAACUCAGAGGCAGCCUGAGGGCUCUUCCACACUGCUUUCAGCUCUUCACCACUGUGCCGAAGACUACGAGGAACACGUGAGCGCAUGACUCAGAAGCCUCAGGGAAGAUGGAGGGCGAGGUGCUGGCAAUUUUUCCGGCAACUCUUUGCGUGAGAUGACAUGCAACAGGGAGCAGGGCUAUUCUGGCCUUGUGGGGAGAGAGAUUGGAAGACGUGACAUUUGUUCCACAGCUGGCUGGCGGCACUGGUUCUGAGCUUUUGUAGAGAGGAGGUGAACAGGCAGCAGCAGAAGUGUCCUUAUAGAAAGGGGAGAUGUGGACACAGAGACAGAGGCGCAGAGGAAAGAUGAGAAGACGCACAGGGAGAAGACCGCCGUGUGACUGGAGUGAUGCAUCCACCAGCCAACGAAGCCCCAGGAUUGCCAGGAACACCCAAAGCGACAAGAGGCAAGGAAGAAUUCUCCCCUAGAGCUGUCAGAGGAAACACAGCCCUACGGACACCUUGAUCUCAGACUUCUGGCCUCCAGAACUGUCACAGAAUACAUUUCUGUUGUUUUAAGCCACGCAGCUUGUAGUGCUGUGUUUUGGUAGCCAAGAGAGUGCUCAGCCAGUGCUCUCUCUGAGGGGACACCAUGAGCUGGUUCUGAGAGUAUGGAAGCAACUGGAAGCUGGAACCAACCACUACUAGAAUCACCUGCCACUACUAGGAUGGAACACUCUGGUUGGCAUGACGCUGACAGAGACAAUGAGCAAAACAGAAGUGCCCUCUCUCUCUUCCAGCCUUCCUGUCACCUCUUAUUUGCUCCUUGGCCAAUGCCCAUGUAAUGGGGGGCCAGCUGUCAGGGGAGAAACAUUGUGUGCCAAGUCCUGGCUUCACAGAACUGACUCUGGCAGGUGGAGGGGGAGCUGAGAGACAAGAGCCUAGUACCCAGCAUCGGGCAUGGAAGCUUGGGUGGGGAAAAAAACCUCAUCUUUAUUUUCAUUAUCCUCUCUCUGAGAUCUAGCAUUCCCUUCCCUUAUGAAUAUGGGCCAAAAAUAAAUGGAGAAAACCACAGUAGUAUUAGCAGAACCUAUAACUCUGUCACUAAUGUUUUCAUUGCACGUUAGAGUUGCUGCAGAUAUUUCAAAUUAUCAUUUACGCUUAUCACCACUACUUAAAAAUUACGGUAGGUGUUAGACUUGCUGCUAGAUCUGGUAAUUCAAUAUGCUAAUAAAGGGGCAAACGGAUUACCAGCAUGAUUUUGUUUUUUAAUGUUUUCAUAACUUUAUUUAGUGUAUGACUUCCUUUUGUACUUGAGUUAUUAUUGUAUUUUAUGCAUUAAAAAUCUUAUUUUGGAAAGAUGACCAAAGACUUCACCAGACUGACAAAGGAGUCCAUGGCACCAAAAAAUAGCUGAAGUAUCAUUAGGAGGAAGGAAGGAUAACCAGGCAGAGCAGAGGAUUUUGGGCAGUGAAACUGUUCUGUAUGAUACUGUAAUGAUGGACACGUGACAUCAUAUAUUUGUCCAAACCUGCAGAAUGGACAACACCAAGCAUGACCCUAACGUAAACCAUGG
Equus caballus (horse) is the source of this 3517-nucleotide long non-coding RNA. NCBI's taxonomy places the organism in Eukaryota, Metazoa, Chordata, Mammalia, Perissodactyla, Equidae. The record is from Ensembl.